This is a non-coding RNA of Camellia sinensis, 231 nucleotides long. The record is from RefSeq and is a predicted model, not a curated record. NCBI's taxonomy places the organism in Eukaryota, Viridiplantae, Streptophyta, Magnoliopsida, Ericales, Theaceae.
AUUUUUUAAUAUCCAUAUGAUUAUAUAUAUUUAUUUGAUCACUGGAAGUUUUGCAAUUUUCCGAGGAGUCAUAUAAGCUGCAACUGUUCUGCAGAUUUUGCCAUUUCGGUUUCAUGAUCUUCACAUUGAUUGAUUGCUAUAAUCAAGUUUUGUUUUCCAAAGGCACAUUUGUAGUUUUGCCUUUGUGUAAUGGAACAACUUGCACAAGCCAAUCUUCAAACACACACUUCA